GAUGAACGCUGGCGGCGUGCUUAACACAUGCAAGUCGAACGGUGAAGGCGGAGCUUGCUCUGCUGGAUCAGUGGCGAACGGGUGAGUAACACGUGAGCAAUCUGCCCCUGACUCUGGGAUAAGCGCUGGAAACGGCGUCUAAUACUGGAUACGAGCUGCGGAGGCAUCUUCAGCAGCUGGAAAGAACUUCGGUCAGGGAUGAGCUCGCGGCCUAUCAGCUUGUUGGUGAGGUAACGGCUCACCAAGGCGUCGACGGGUAGCCGGCCUGAGAGGGUGACCGGCCACACUGGGACUGAGACACGGCCCAGACUCCUACGGGAGGCAGCAGUGGGGAAUAUUGCACAAUGGGCGAAAGCCUGAUGCAGCAACGCCGCGUGAGGGACGACGGCCUUCGGGUUGUAAACCUCUUUUAGCAGGGAAGAAGCGAAAGUGACGGUACCUGCAGAAAAAGCGCCGGCUAACUACGUG
This 468-nucleotide ribosomal RNA is filed under the name uncultured bacterium. Its description in RNAcentral is "partial 16S ribosomal RNA". It matches the Rfam family "Bacterial small subunit ribosomal RNA", at positions 28 to 507 of the family's 1533-position model. The record is from RNAcentral.